Molecule: unclassified non-coding RNA, 244 nt
Filed under: uncultured Helotiales
Lineage: Eukaryota; Fungi; Ascomycota; Leotiomycetes; Helotiales
Description: sequence contains 5.8S rRNA gene
Rfam family: 5.8S ribosomal RNA (bases 1-53)
Source: RNAcentral
GAACGCACAUUGCGCCCCUUGGUAUUCCGGGGGGCAUGCCUGUUCGAGCGUCAUUUCAACCCUCAAGCCUAGCUUGGUCUUGGGCUCUGCCGGUAACGGCUGGCCUUAAAAUCAGUGGCGGUGCCAUCGAGCUCUACGCGUAGUAAUUAAACCCUCGCGUGUGAGUCUCGUUGAGUGCUUGCCAGUAACCCCCAAUUUUCUAUGGUUGACCUCGGAUCAGGUAGGGAUACCCGCUGAACUUAAG